This 441-nucleotide ribosomal RNA is filed under the name uncultured bacterium. RNAcentral's name for it is "partial 16S ribosomal RNA". It matches the Rfam family "Bacterial small subunit ribosomal RNA", at positions 338 to 795 of the family's 1533-position model. The record is from RNAcentral.
CCUACGGGCGGCAGCAGUCGGGAAUAUUGCGCAAUGGAGGAAACUCUGACGCAGUGACGCCGCGUGCAGGAAGAAGGUUUUCGGAUUGUAAACUGCUGUAGACAGGGAAGAAAGAAGACAGUACCUGUAGAAUAAGCUCCGGCUAACUACGUGCCAGCAGCCGCGGUAAUACGUAGGUGGCAAGCGUUAGCCGGAUUUAUUGGGUGUAAAGGGAGUGUAGGCGGGAAUGAAAGUCAGAUGUGAAAACUAUGGGCUCAACCCAUAGCCUGCAUUUGAAACUGUAUUUCUUGAGUGCUGGAGAGGCAAUCGGAAUUCCGUGUGUAGCGGUGAAAUGCGUAGAUAUACGGAGGAACACCAGUGGCGAAGGCGGAUUGCUGGACAGUAACUGACGCUGAGGCGCGAAAGCGUGGGGAGCAAACAGGAUUAGAUACCCGUGUAGUC